This 871-nucleotide ribosomal RNA is filed under the name uncultured Alphaproteobacteria bacterium. RNAcentral's name for it is "bacterial SSU rRNA". It matches the Rfam family "Bacterial small subunit ribosomal RNA", at positions 28 to 937 of the family's 1533-position model. The record is from RNAcentral. Lineage: Bacteria; Pseudomonadati; Pseudomonadota; Alphaproteobacteria.
AACGAACGCUGGCGGCAGGCCUAACACAUGCAAGUCGAACGCCGUAGCAAUACGGAGUGGCAGACGGGUGAGUAACACGUGGGAACGUACCCUUCGGUUCGGAAUAACUCAGGGAAACUUGAGCUAAUACCGGAUACGUCCGCAAGGAGAAAGAUUUAUUGCCGAAGGAUCGGCCCGCGUCUGAUUAGCUAGUUGGUGAGGUAAUGGCUCACCAAGGCGACGAUCAGUAGCUGGUCUGAGAGGAUGAUCAGCCACAUUGGGACUGAGACACGGCCCAAACUCCUACGGGAGGCAGCAGUGGGGAAUAUUGGACAAUGGGCGCAAGCCUGAUCCAGCCAUGCCGCGUGAGUGAUGAAGGCCUUAGGGUUGUAAAGCUCUUUUACUCGGGAAGAUAAUGACGGUAACCGAGAGAAUAAGCCCCGGCUAACUUUCGUGCCAGCAGCCGCGGUAAAUACGAAGGGGGCUNAGCCGUUGUUUCGGAUUUACUGGGCGUAAAGCGCACGUAGGCGGAUCUUUAAGUCAGGGGUGAAAUCCCGAGGCUCAACCUCGGAACUGCCUUUGAUACUGGAGAUCUUGAGUCCGGGAGAGGUGAGUUGGAACUGCGAGUGUAGAGGUGAAAUUCGUAGAUAUUCGCAAGAACACCAGUGGCGAAGGCGACUUUCUGGUCUGUAACUGACACUGAGGCGCGAAAGCGUGGGGAGCAAACAGGAUUAGAUACCCUGGUAGUCCACGCCGUAAACGAUGAGUGCUAAGUGUUAGAGGGUUUCCGCCCUUUAGUGCUGCAGCAAACGCAUUAAGCACUCCGCCUGGGGAGUACGGUCGCAAGACUGAAACUCAAAGGAAUUGACGGGGGCCCGCACAAGCGGUGGAG